CAUCAGGCCCUCGCACGCCUUCACCACCACCCGGCCGUCCUGGGGGGGCAGAGAGGGCGAGGUCAGCCCCGCUGGAACCACGGACCAACGCCGUGCCGACACACAGCCGGUUUACAGUUUUUUCAAUACAACAAUAACAAACAAAUUGAGCCAGGUAUACAUUCACUUUUCCCAGAUUAAAUUAAGUGAAGGGUGAAAGAAUUCAACCAGGCCAGGUCUUUCUCUAACCUAGAGAAACCAGUAAAA
This is a long non-coding RNA of Gadus macrocephalus (Pacific cod), 246 nucleotides long. RefSeq lists it as uncharacterized. Lineage: Eukaryota; Metazoa; Chordata; Actinopteri; Gadiformes; Gadidae. The record is from RefSeq and is a predicted model, not a curated record. The transcript is spliced from 2 exons.